This 1566-nucleotide ribosomal RNA is filed under the name Triticum aestivum (bread wheat). Its description in RNAcentral is "partial small subunit ribosomal RNA". The record is from RNAcentral. Lineage: Eukaryota; Viridiplantae; Streptophyta; Magnoliopsida; Poales; Poaceae.
AUGAGGACCCUGCCGCAAACGGGCCGCCCCACGUCGCAGCAGAUCCGGAGUUGCGGCAAGCAAGCUAGCAGACGCCGGAUCGGAACCCCCAUCAACUGUGUAACACAUCGAGGCCCCAAGCCCCCGAGCCAAGCAACCCCCCUCCCCUCGUUCCAUUCCCCUCCUCGCUCGAUUCGGCAGCGCCUCCUCCUCUGUUCUGAAUCCUCUGUUCGAUCCCUAACCCUAACCCUAAGGCGACUGCGCCGUUGCCCGCGGCCUCUCCCUUCACCAACGGCGCCGUUGCCCGCGUCCUCUCCCUUCACCGACGGCGCCAUCUCGUCCGAGUCUGAGCUGGAGGAGCACGUGUACAUCAGGGAGGAAGCAGGGCCAGCACGCCGUGGGGAGGCAGCAAGGCCAGCACGCCGUCGGUCCGUCCUUCCCUGGUUCCUCACCGAGCGCCACGAAGAGGAAGAGAUAAUGGUGAAGGAGAAGGGGAAUGAGAAGGGAAAGGGUGCUGGUAAGGAGAAUGCGAAGGCGAAGGCAAAGGACAAAAGCGUGAAUUACCUAAUUAGGCAAGAUUCGGCGUUGCCUCCGCCGGUUCCGAGGAAGAAGAGGAAGCCUAAGGUUAAAAAAAACCCUCCACCUCCGAGGCGUCUCCCUGACCGCACCAGUGCCGGCGUGCGUGCCGUGGAAGCCGCUGCCUCUACUAUUGUGGUAGAUGACGAGGAGAAGGAGGAUGAGGACGAGGAGGAGGAUGAGGACAAGGACGUGGACAUGGAUGAGGACAAGGACAAGAACAAGGACGAUGAGGAAUAUGAGGAGCAAAAUCUGUUUAUAGUCCCGCCACAACCGAGUGUUGAUAUGUCGGAUGAUGAUACAUCAGAAGGGCAUAAGGAAUCAGCUGAUGAACUAGAAGGUGACACUAUGUUCGAGGAAUCACUUGUGCAUGUUGUAUCUAGUGAGGAGGAGGCAAGAGAAAGGAAAAAGAACAAGAGGCCAAGAGCCAAUGCUCCUGUUAGGAUGUCAUCGGAUGUUUGGGCCCAUUUUCACAAGGUCAAAGAGCCAUCGACGGAGCAUCCGGGAGAGAUUGUGUUGAAGGCUGUUUGUAAUUAUUGUCCCAAAAAGAGCCCACGCGUCUUUCCAAACAAUGGGAGUCAAGAGCAUUCUAACAGUAGCCCAAAAAAAACUCUCACAAGAGAAUUUUCUGCUUUUCCAGCAGACCAAAAAUUGCUGACCUAUAAGUUUCAGCUUGGGUACUCUCAAGGGCAGGCUGGGAAGCAGAUCCGGCGAUCGUUGGGGCACGGAGCUCAGUUCGGCUGGAGUAGCUUGUUGGGGGACGAGACGAUCAUCAGGCCGCCUAGGAAUGCGGCCGACGGCGGUGUCGCGGCGACAAUUUCGGCCGCCGAAAAGGGGGAGGCAGUUGAUUUGACUGUAGUCGACUACGGUCUUCCGAGCUUCCGCGACCACAGAGGGGUCGCAGAAGGUGUCUCAGCCGAUGGAACAUGCAGUGAGGUGGGGAGGUUUGGCGGCGGUGAAGUUUCAGUUUCAAGUUUGGUGCUUGGUUUUGGUUUUUGGGAAAGCUGCUAG